UUCCUCAUCUGAUGCUGCCAUGCGCAACAGGCUCCUCUGCUGGGUUGUUCUUUUGCUUCUCAGAAUAGGCCUGGAGGAUGCUGCAGUCAUACAGUUCCCAAGGCACCGGAUCUUGAAGGCUGAAAAGGAAUUCACUCUACAGUGUUCUCAGAAAAUGAAUCAUUAUGCAAUGUACUGGUAUCGCCAAGAUCCGGGAUUUGGACUUCAGCUGAUCUAUUAUUCAACUGGCCCCGACACCUUUAAGAAAGGAGAUGUCCCUGAGGGGUAUCACGUCUCUCGAGAUGAGCUGGACCAUUUCCCCCUGACCCUGAAGUCCGCCAGCCCCAACCAGACAUCUGUGUACUUCUGCGCCAGCACUGAAUCCACAGUGUGGCACGGCUGCUUCCUCUCUGCACAAAAAGAGGGGCAGACCGAGGUCCUCAAGAUUCCUGACCCCAACUAG
Capra hircus (goat) is the source of this 442-nucleotide non-coding RNA. NCBI's taxonomy places the organism in Eukaryota, Metazoa, Chordata, Mammalia, Artiodactyla, Bovidae. The record is from the annotation of a RefSeq genome assembly.